GGAUCUGGGUUCUGUUGGACCCCAAAAGGUUCCGUGGAGCUCAGUGGGAUCCGUGGUCCCCGAUGGGUUCUGGGGACCCCAAAGGGUUUGAGGGCCCCUGAAGGGUUCCAGGGACCCCCCGCGUCCUGUGGACCCCAAAGGCUUCUCCAGAGCCCCAGGUUCUGCUCAGCCCCAAAGUGUUCCAGAGACCCCAAAAGGAUUUUAUGGACCCCAAAAGGAUUUUAUGGACCCCAAAGUGUUCCAGAGACCCCAAAAGGAUUUUAUGGAUCCCCCAAAAGGAUUUUAUGGACUCCAAAGGAUUUUGUGGACCCCAAAAGGAUUUUAUGGACUCCAAAGGAUUUUAAGGACCCCAAAAAGGAUUUUAAGGACCCCAAAAAGUUCUCCGGCCCCGAUGGAUUCUAUGGCCCCAAAGGGUUCGACAACCCCACAGCUCGAAGGUCACCGGGGUUUUAUGGCCCUGGGGUUUUAUGGCCCCGAGGUUUUAUGGCCCCCGGGGUUUUAUGGCCCCCGAGGUUUUAUGGCCCCGGGAUUUACACCCCGAUGCGUGAAAGUGCCUCCAUAAAGAUUUGGGAACUUUUAUGGCCUCGGUGCCUUCCUGGGACAGCGAGGGCGGGGUGGGAGCGGGGCGGGGGGAGAGAAAUGGGGGCGGUUCUGGGACCCCCAGGGACCCCCCUGAUCCUAUGGGACCCCCCUGAUCCUAUGGGACCCCCAGGG
RNAcentral lists this long non-coding RNA (714 nucleotides) under Corvus moneduloides (New Caledonian crow). RNAcentral's name for it is "lncRNA (ENSCMUG00000019605.1)". The record is from RNAcentral. Lineage: Eukaryota; Metazoa; Chordata; Aves; Passeriformes; Corvidae.